RNAcentral lists this transfer RNA (542 nucleotides) under uncultured Prochlorococcus sp. RNAcentral's name for it is "partial 16S-23S ribosomal RNA intergenic spacer". The stretch from base 212 to 284 matches the Rfam family "tRNA". Lineage: Bacteria; Bacillati; Cyanobacteriota; Cyanophyceae; Synechococcales; Prochlorococcaceae. The record is from RNAcentral.
CAGGGAGACAACAAAAUGUUAAAUAUUAAUUUUGUCACCUUAGGUCGAUCGGUAUCUCACAUUCUUAAUUCAUUAAGGAUUUUAUUUCCUAAGUUUUUUCUAGGUCACACCCAUAUACUUUUCCUGGGCCAUUAGCUCAGGUGGUUAGAGCGCACCCCUGAUAAGGGUGAGGUCCCUGGUUCAAGUCCAGGAUGGCCCAUAUCUCUAUGUUGGGGGUAUAGCUCAGUUGGUAGAGCGCCUGCUUUGCAAGCAGGAUGUCAGCGGUUCGAGUCCGCUUACCUCCACUGAUUACCACCUCUUCCAUAUUUUUAGAAGGGAAAUUAUUGAGGUGUGAUCAAAUUCUGAACGAAUCUAGCUUCCUAAUUACACUUAUUAAGACGCUGGACUCAUUGAAUUAAUUUCAUUGUUUUCAGAGAACCUUGACAACUGCAUAGAUUUUUUUUAAAGACAAUAAGCAUCUUUAAUGAUGCAGAUUUAUUAUUUGUGCGAAUGCAUUAAAUAACAAUUCUAUUAAGCUGAUGCUUCAAAUUUUUGAAGUUAUU